This 157-nucleotide unclassified non-coding RNA is filed under the name fungal sp. RNAcentral's name for it is "partial internal transcribed spacer region". Lineage: Eukaryota; Fungi. The record is from RNAcentral.
AAGUCGUAACAAGGUUUCCGGAGGUGAAAAAUCAUUACGGGUGGCGCAAUCACGAUCGCUCUCGGCCCCCUAAUCACCUUUGCAUGAAAACGGGCCUGCGCUUAAUUGUGCAGCCACCAAACUCGAACAACUGUUCAGAAUGGAUAUCUUGGUUCUC